AUUGAACGCUGGCGGCAUGCUUUACACAUGCAAGUCGAACGGUAACAGGCCGCAAGGUGCUAACGAGUGGCGAACGGGUGAGUAAUGCAUCGGAACGUGCCCAGUCGUGGGGGAUAACUACUCGAAAGAGUAGCUAAUACCGCAUACGAUCUAUGGAUGAAAGCGGGGGACCGUAAGGCCUCGCGCGAUUUGAGCGGCCGAUGUCAGAUUAGGUAGUUGGUGGGGUAAAGGCUCACCAAGCCAACGAUCUGUAGCUGGUCUGAGAGGACGACCAGCCACACUGGGACUGAGACACGGCCCAGACUCCUACGGGAGGCAGCAGUGGGGAAUUUUGGACAAUGGGCGCAAGCCUGAUCCAGCAAUGCCGCGUGCAGGAAGAAGGCCUUCGGGUUGUAAACUGCUUUUGUACGGAACGAAACGGCUCUGGUUAAUACCCGGGGCUAAUGACGGUACCGUAAGAAUAAGCACCGGCUAACUACGUG
RNAcentral lists this ribosomal RNA (482 nucleotides) under uncultured bacterium. Its description in RNAcentral is "partial 16S ribosomal RNA". It matches the Rfam family "Bacterial small subunit ribosomal RNA", at positions 30 to 507 of the family's 1533-position model. The record is from RNAcentral.